Molecule: long non-coding RNA, 1414 nt
Filed under: Amazona collaria (yellow-billed parrot)
Lineage: Eukaryota; Metazoa; Chordata; Aves; Psittaciformes; Psittacidae
Description: lncRNA (ENSACOG00000002842.1)
Source: RNAcentral
AUGCCAAAGCAGAGCCAGAAGCCUCCCGCUCCCCUUUCCUCCCCUUGGCUCAGUCACCUCUGUUCUGCUCAGCUUGGCCUGGGAGGAGGAGGAGGAGGCGUAUCUGAGGUGCUGAUCCAGCUCCUGCCCCAGUGCAGCCCUAGCACCCCGUGUCUCUUUGCUGCAGGGUGUGGGGACACAGAGUAUGGGGACCUCGAGGAUGAAGGUAAGACCCUGAUGCCAUGGUCCCAGCAUGGCUGUGGCCCCAGCUGCCGCAGCAUCCUGACAGCCAUGGGCUCUGCUGCCCUUGCGCAGUCCCGCAGGUCCCGCUGGCACUGGCAGCACUGUCUCUCCUUCCAGGUUACUACGUGUACCUGGAUGAGGACGACGGGUCUGCAAUGGACAGAGCUGGGAGUGUUCCCGAUGGGUGACCCCAAACAUCCCCCUCAAAACCAAAACUGGGGGGAAAGGCGAGGGGGGCAUCCCAGGGUCUGUCCCGUGCUCCGCAGAACUGCCGGAGGUGCUGGGGGGGGCAGCCCGCUGCCAGGACACCUACCAGGACUGGAUCUCCCUCUACUGCUGGGCUCCCUUCCAUGCCACCCUCAUGACCACCCCUGAGGGCAGCCGCUGCCGCUGGGACCAGAUCAGCAGUCCCUACAGUGAGCUCUCCCGCUGCACCCAGCUGCUGGCCCAGCUCCUCUCCUGCCCUUGGCCCAGCUCUGUCCUCGACACCUUCUUCCUGCAGGUUCAUGCUGAAUACUUCACCAACUGCACAGGGGCUGAGCCCCCCCCAACCGAGUGUGAUGCCCCCCUGGCUGGCUCUGGCUGUGGCCAUGGGGCUCAGCUGCCUCGUGCCCCUCGCAGCAGCCGUCGUGCUCAGCAGAGCCCCAAAAGGGGCUCACACGCCAGCCCCUGCCUGCCCCAUGCCUGCGAGGAGCCUGCAGCUGCUCUCUUCCUUCCCAGCCCUGGGAACUGAGGGGUGGGCAGGGGGUGCAGGGGACAGGGCAGAGCAGUGAUGGGGGACUGAGCAUCCCUGGGAAUGGAGUGGGUCCCCUGGCACUGGGGAGGGCGAGGCCUGGGGCUCUGGAUGCCUGCAUCUGCCCCAAAGCAGGGGAGAGUCAGGAGAAGGGAACUGGAGUCCUGACCCUGCAUGAGAUGAGCCCUUUCCCCAGCUGGCAUGGAGCGAUGGGGAUGCCAGGCUGCGGAUGAGGGAGCCCCAAACUUUGGCUGGCAGCCACUGUCCUGUCCCUGCCCAUCGUAUCCCUGCCCAUCCCCUCUGGACACCUCAGGAGCAGGGCAGCCGUCCCAGCCCUGGGGCUGUGCUGAGAUCAUUGGGUGUCUCCCUGGCAGAGGCUCCUGCCGCCCAGCCGGAGGCUUCACUGGCUCCAACCAAGAGCGGGACCAGGGGGCUCCAACCCUGCAGCCCCCGGGACGC